AAUGGAGUAACUACAAAUUUGUCUAAUAAACAGAUAGCUACAAAUUUCUACUCAUUUCAAAAUAAUUAAACUCAUUAAAAUAUUCUGUGCAUUUGUCUUUUUCCUUGUAGUGGUCGAGCGGUUUGAGCGGCGAUUUAGCUUUUAUGAUCGCUUCUAUCAUUUGGAAGAAUAUGAUCAAAAGACGACACUUUUUUAUCAUCUUAUUAGAGAUAUUAAACUACAAAAAUCUAAUCCCCUCGGCACAACAAAAAAAAAAAAAAAAAAAAAAAAACUAACAAAAAUCUAAUCAACACAAAACCAAAAUCAAUAUAUGAAUAGAUUAAACGUAUAAGAUAAAAAUUUGUGUAAGGAGAGAAGCUCGAAGAUAGUACUCCCUUCG
This 379-nucleotide long non-coding RNA is filed under the name Salvia miltiorrhiza (redroot sage). RNAcentral describes it as "long non-coding RNA (SMIL_LNC011227)". The record is from RNAcentral. Lineage: Eukaryota; Viridiplantae; Streptophyta; Magnoliopsida; Lamiales; Lamiaceae.